CCCAGGACUGUCAAGGAGGGAAAGAGGGGCUGGGGAGCAUCUGGCCCUGGCUGGACUCUGAGUCCUGAUGAAGCCAUCCCCCUCCAGCUCCUGGUCUGGUCUCUGAGGAGAACUUUCUCUCAGUGGUUUCUUCCUUCCAGGGUUCAGCUCCUAGACCACAAUCUGCCCUGCUGGAACCUCAAGGACUAUGGAGUUGGGACAUGGAUCCGUGCUGCACCAAAGUGAGCAGGAAACAGGCAACAGUUGUAUUAUUGAAGAGCUCCACGACCACAGACUGGGAAAAGCGUGAUCAAACGUGAUGCGGAGAACAGAUGCCCGAGCAGGGCUGGCGGUUAAUUA
Molecule: long non-coding RNA, 339 nt
Organism: Tachyglossus aculeatus (Australian echidna)
Lineage: Eukaryota; Metazoa; Chordata; Mammalia; Monotremata; Tachyglossidae
Exons: 3
Source: RefSeq, a predicted model, not a curated record